GACGAACGCUGGCGGCGUGCCUAAUACAUGCAAGUCGAACGAACAGAGGCUAAGUGCUUGCGAUGAGUCAAGGAGAGGGGCGAAAGGGUGCGUAACACGUCGGGACCCUAGCUAAUAGUGGGGGAUAAAAGACGGAAAAGACCACACAAACUGCAUAUGACAUCGGGUGACCGGAACCCGUGGGGAGAGGUGGCGCAAGCAAUCGCGAUGAGAUAGACCGGCGGUGCAAUAGCUAGUUGGUCGGGUAAAGGCAUACCAAGGCAAUGAUGCGUAGCCGACCUGAGAGGAUGAUCAGCCACAUUGGGACUGAGACACGGCCCAGACUCCUACGGGAGGCAGCAGUGGGGAAUUUUGCGCAAUGGGCGCAAGUCUGACGGAGCAACGCCGCGUGAGGGAAGAAGGUCUUCGGGUCGUAAAGCUCUUUUGUAAGGGAAGAACAGCGUAUGGAGAAACCGCUAUGCGUGUGACGGUAUCGAACCAAAAAGCCACGGCUAACUACGUG
Molecule: ribosomal RNA, 502 nt
Filed under: uncultured bacterium
Lineage: Bacteria
Description: partial 16S ribosomal RNA
Rfam family: Bacterial small subunit ribosomal RNA
Source: RNAcentral